RNAcentral lists this ribosomal RNA (2901 nucleotides) under Klebsiella pneumoniae. RNAcentral describes it as "23S ribosomal RNA". It matches the Rfam family "Bacterial large subunit ribosomal RNA". The record is from RNAcentral. Lineage: Bacteria; Pseudomonadati; Pseudomonadota; Gammaproteobacteria; Enterobacterales; Enterobacteriaceae.
GGUUAAGCGACUAAGCGUACACGGUGGAUGCCCUGGCAGUCAGAGGCGAUGAAGGACGUGCUAAUCUGCGAAAAGCGUCGGUAAGGUGAUAUGAACCGUUAUAACCGGCGAUGUCCGAAUGGGGAAACCCAGUGUGAUUCGUCACACUAUCGUUAACUGAAUACAUAGGUUAACGAGGCGAACCGGGGGAACUGAAACAUCUAAGUACCCCGAGGAAAAGAAAUCAACCGAGAUUCCCCCAGUAGCGGCGAGCGAACGGGGAGCAGCCCAGAGUCUGAAUCAGCUUGUGUGUUAGUGGAACGGUCUGGAAAGUCCGACGGUACAGGGUGAUAGUCCCGUACACCAAAAUGCACAGGCUGUGAACUCGAAGAGUAGGGCGGGACACGUGGUAUCCUGUCUGAAUAUGGGGGGACCAUCCUCCAAGGCUAAAUACUCCUGACUGACCGAUAGUGAACCAGUACCGUGAGGGAAAGGCGAAAAGAACCCCGGCGAGGGGAGUGAAAAAGAACCUGAAACCGUGUACGUACAAGCAGUGGGAGCACCUUCGGGUGUGACUGCGUACCUUUUGUAUAAUGGGUCAGCGACUUAUAUUCUGUAGCAAGGUUAACCGUAUAGGGGAGCCGCAGGGAAACCGAGUCUUAACUGGGCGUUAAGUUGCAGGGUAUAGACCCGAAACCCGGUGAUCUAGCCAUGGGCAGGUUGAAGGUUGGGUAACACUAACUGGAGGACCGAACCGACUAAUGUUGAAAAAUUAGCGGAUGACUUGUGGCUGGGGGUGAAAGGCCAAUCAAACCGGGAGAUAGCUGGUUCUCCCCGAAAGCUAUUUAGGUAGCGCCUCGUGAAUUCAUCUUCGGGGGUAGAGCACUGUUUCGGCUAGGGGGUCAUCCCGACUUACCAACCCGAUGCAAACUACGAAUACCGAAGAAUGUUAUCACGGGAGACACACGGCGGGUGCUAACGUCCGUCGUGAAGAGGGAAACAACCCAGACCGCCAGCUAAGGUCCCAAAGUCAUGGUUAAGUGGGAAACGAUGUGGGAAGGCACAGACAGCCAGGAUGUUGGCUUAGAAGCAGCCAUCAUUUAAAGAAAGCGUAAUAGCUCACUGGUCGAGUCGGCCUGCGCGGAAGAUGUAACGGGGCUAAACCAUGCACCGAAGCUGCGGCAGCGACACUAUGUGUUGUUGGGUAGGGGAGCGUUCUGUAAGCCUGCGAAGGUGUGCUGUGAGGCAUGCUGGAGGUAUCAGAAGUGCGAAUGCUGACAUAAGUAACGAUAAAGCGGGUGAAAAGCCCGCUCGCCGGAAGACCAAGGGUUCCUGUCCAACGUUAAUCGGGGCAGGGUGAGUCGACCCCUAAGGCGAGGCCGAAAGGCGUAGUCGAUGGGAAACAGGUUAAUAUUCCUGUACUUGGUGUUACUGCGAAGGGGGGACGGAGAAGGCUAUGUUAGCCGGGCGACGGUUGUCCCGGUUUAAGCAUGUAGGCUGAUUGUCCAGGCAAAUCCGGAUAAUCAAGGCUGAGGUGUGAUGACGAGGCACUACGGUGCUGAAGUAACAAAUGCCCUGCUUCCAGGAAAAGCCUCUAAGCAUCAGGUAACAUCAAAUCGUACCCCAAACCGACACAGGUGGUCAGGUAGAGAAUACCAAGGCGCUUGAGAGAACUCGGGUGAAGGAACUAGGCAAAAUGGUGCCGUAACUUCGGGAGAAGGCACGCUGGUGUGUAGGUGAAGCCCCUGCGGGUGGAGCUGAGACCAGUCGAAGAUACCAGCUGGCUGCAACUGUUUAUUAAAAACACAGCACUGUGCAAACACGAAAGUGGACGUAUACGGUGUGACGCCUGCCCGGUGCCGGAAGGUUAAUUGAUGGGGUUAUCCGUAAGGAGAAGCUCUUGAUCGAAGCCCCGGUAAACGGCGGCCGUAACUAUAACGGUCCUAAGGUAGCGAAAUUCCUUGUCGGGUAAGUUCCGACCUGCACGAAUGGCGUAAUGAUGGCCAGGCUGUCUCCACCCGAGACUCAGUGAAAUUGAACUCGCUGUGAAGAUGCAGUGUACCCGCGGCAAGACGGAAAGACCCCGUGAACCUUUACUAUAGCUUGACACUGAACAUUGAGCCUUGAUGUGUAGGAUAGGUGGGAGGCUUUGAAGCGUGGACGCCAGUCUGCGUGGAGCCAACCUUGAAAUACCACCCUUUAAUGUUUGAUGUUCUAACGUUGGCCCCUUACCGGGGUUGCGGACAGUGUCUGGUGGGUAGUUUGACUGGGGCGGUCUCCUCCCAAAGCGUAACGGAGGAGCACGAAGGUUAGCUAAUCCUGGUCGGACAUCAGGAGGUUAGUGCAAUGGCAUAAGCUAGCUUGACUGCGAGCGUGACGGCGCGAGCAGGUGCGAAAGCAGGUCAUAGUGAUCCGGUGGUUCUGAAUGGAAGGGCCAUCGCUCAACGGAUAAAAGGUACUCCGGGGAUAACAGGCUGAUACCGCCCAAGAGUUCAUAUCGACGGCGGUGUUUGGCACCUCGAUGUCGGCUCAUCACAUCCUGGGGCUGAAGUAGGUCCCAAGGGUAUGGCUGUUCGCCAUUUAAAGUGGUACGCGAGCUGGGUUUAGAACGUCGUGAGACAGUUCGGUCCCUAUCUGCCGUGGGCGCUGGAGAAUUGAGGGGGCUGCUCCUAGUACGAGAGGACCGGAGUGGACGCAUCACUGGUGUUCGGGUUGUCAUGCCAAUGGCACUGCCCGGUAGCUAAAUGCGGAAGAGAUAAGUGCUGAAAGCAUCUAAGCACGAAACUUGCCCCGAGAUGAGUUCUCCCUGAGACUUUAAGUCUCCUGAAGGAACGUUAAAGACGAUGACGUUGAUAGGCCGGGUGUGUAAGCGCAGCGAUGCGUUGAGCUAACCGGUACUAAUGAACCGUGAGGCUUAACCUU